Molecule: long non-coding RNA, 849 nt
Organism: Phragmites australis (common reed)
Lineage: Eukaryota; Viridiplantae; Streptophyta; Magnoliopsida; Poales; Poaceae
Exons: 3
Source: RefSeq, a predicted model, not a curated record
GCCAAUGAAGUUCACAUUUAUUACCCGCAAUUCCCAUCGAUAUACCCCUGAUCCCUCCUCCCCUUCCUCGUCCACGAGGCUAGAGCGAUACCCAACCCCACCCGCUCGCCCCUGUUGCUCUCACGGCUCAUGGGGGCGGCUAGGAUUUGGAAGGCCCACGACAGGCGCUACCACAGGACCGAAGCGCGCCACCCCUAACUGGAACCCUAGUGAGAUCCGGUCCUGACGCCGAUGCAGAUGGCCGAAGAAGAAGACGACGCCCAGAUCCAGGCCGCAGUGUCCACCACCUCCAUCCUGCCUCGUCAGGCCGCCUCCAGCCCGCCGGCUCCCGCGUAGCUGUAACACCGCCGACGACCCCAGUCCGUUGCCUUCUCCUAUGCUCCACCAGCUACCCCUCCGCUUUGCCGGCGCCCCCUAGCGCCGCCAUCGCCCACUCCACCGGCGCCUCCUCCCCUCUGCUCCGUCUGAGAUCUGCAGCCCCGGCCGUCGCCAACUACGCGCAGGAACGGGCCUCGGCGUCCUCGACUCGUCAAGGAACAGAUCAAACGUGCAGGGCUACUUCGUGUGCUCUGAAUUCUGAAGUUCUCUUCUGCAGAUUGAUUCAUCAUUUGAUCUGAAGUCCUCCAGCUUGCCGGCUCCCGCGUAGCCGCAGCACCAGCGACGACCCCAGUCCGCAGGUGAAGCUCCAUGCUAUCCUCGCCUAGCGCCCCCACCGUCCCCUCCCCUUCAGAGCAAUAUAUCAGGAGGUGCUGCUGGUGAGGAAGAGCCAGUGUUUGGCUACUUCGUGCCUGCUGAUCAGGAUGGCAAGCAAGAGUAGUGCAUCCUACUCUCGGAGGUCGUGUUUUUGGG